UGCCGGGAUAACUAAAACUCUGA
Molecule: microRNA, 23 nt
Filed under: Branchiostoma floridae (Florida lancelet)
Lineage: Eukaryota; Metazoa; Chordata; Leptocardii; Amphioxiformes; Branchiostomatidae
Description: bfl-miR-4872a
Source: miRBase by way of RNAcentral